RNAcentral lists this ribosomal RNA (250 nucleotides) under uncultured bacterium. RNAcentral describes it as "partial 16S ribosomal RNA". It matches the Rfam family "Bacterial small subunit ribosomal RNA", at positions 524 to 773 of the family's 1533-position model. The record is from RNAcentral.
UACGAAGGGGGCUAGCGUUGUUCGGAAUUACUGGGCGUAAAGCGUGCGCAGGCGGCUUCUCAAGUCAGUGGUGAAAGCCCGGAGCUCAACUCCGGAACUGCCAUUGAAACUGUAAGACUUGAGGACGAGAGAGGUGAGUGGAAUUCCCAGUGUAGAGGUGAAAUUCGUAGAUAUUGGGAAGAACACCAGUGGCGAAGGCGGCUCACUGGCUCGUAUCUGACGCUCAGGCGCGACAGCGUGGGGAUCGAAA